This 254-nucleotide ribosomal RNA is filed under the name uncultured bacterium. RNAcentral's name for it is "partial 16S ribosomal RNA". It matches the Rfam family "Bacterial small subunit ribosomal RNA", at positions 524 to 776 of the family's 1533-position model. The record is from RNAcentral.
CACGUAGGGGGCAAGCGUUGUCCGGAUUUAUUGGGCGUAAAGAGCUCGUAGGCGGCUCAGUAAGUCAGGUGUGAAACCUCCAGGCUCAACCUGGAGACGCCACCUGAUACUGCUGUGGCUAGAGUCCGGUAGGGGAGCGUGGAAUUCCUGGUGUAGCGGUGAAAUGCGCAGAUAUCAGGAAGAACACCUAUGGCGAAGGCAGCUCUCUGGGACGGUACUGACGCUGAGACGCGAAAGCGUGGGGAGCGAACAGG